GUGAAAUUUUGAUCUAGAUAUGCCCGGACAAAAAUUUCAUCACAGCUUGAAAGAGCAUCACAAAAUUAGUAAUAUUCCGAAGUUUCGUUGCGAAAUGUUGUAAAAUGCGGAUAAUAUAGCCUUGCGAAUUUUGCCGUUUUUCAGUCAUUUUGUAUUACAAAUGGGAAAUUGGUAAUCAGUUUGAUCAUCUGAUUAUCAAUUUCCCGUGCGUAAUGCAAAAUGACUUAAAAACG
Molecule: non-coding RNA, 233 nt
Organism: Paramuricea clavata
Lineage: Eukaryota; Metazoa; Cnidaria; Anthozoa; Malacalcyonacea; Plexauridae
Source: the annotation of a GenBank genome assembly